This 1357-nucleotide ribosomal RNA is filed under the name uncultured bacterium. RNAcentral's name for it is "partial 16S ribosomal RNA". It matches the Rfam family "Bacterial small subunit ribosomal RNA", at positions 12 to 1368 of the family's 1533-position model. The record is from RNAcentral.
UUUGAUCCUGGCUCAGGAUGAACGCUAGCGGCAGGCCUAAUACAUGCAAGUCGAACGGCAGGCGUCCCUUCGGGGUCGCCGAGAGUGGCGCACGGGUGCGUAACGCGUAUGCAACCCACCCGCCGCCGGGGGAUAGCCCGGGGAAAUCCGGAUUAACCCCCCAUGAGGAGCGGACGAGGCAUCUCGUCCGUUUCAAAACCACGGUGGCGGCGGACGGGCAUGCGUGCCAUUAGAUAGUUGGCGGGGCGACGGCCCAUCAAGUCGACGAUGGCUAGGGGAUCUGAGAGGACGGUCCCCCACACUGGUACUGAGACACGGACCAGACUCCUACGGGAGGCAGCAGUAAGGGAUAUUGGUCAAUGGGGGGAACCCUGAACCAGCCAUGCCGCGUGAGGGAGUGAGGCCCUACGGGUCGUGAACCUCUUUUGCCGGGGGAUAAGGGCGUCCACGCGUGGGCGUUUGAAGGUACCCGGAGAAUAAGCAUCGGCUAACUCCGUGCCAGCAGCCGCGGUAAUACGGAGGAUGCGAGCGUUAUCCGGAUUUAUUGGGUUUAAAGGGUGCGCAGGCGGGCGGUUAAGUCAGCGGUGAAAGGCAGGGGCUCAACCCCGGCAGUGCCGUUGAUACUGGCCGUCUUGAAUGCGGUCGAGGCCGGCGGAAUGUGGCGUGUAGCGGUGAAAUGCAUAGAUAUGCCACAGAACACCGAUAGCGAAGGCAGCUGGCCGGGCCUGCAUUGACGCUGAGGCACGAAAGCGUGGGGAUCGAACAGGAUUAGAUACCCUGGUAGUCCGCACAGUAAACGAUGUGCACUAGGUGUCUGGGCAUAAGCCCGGGUGCCAAAGCAAACGCGAUAAGUGCACCGCCUGGGGAGUAUGCCCGCAAGGGUGAAACUCAAAGGAAUUGACGGGGGCCCGCACAAGCGGUGGAGCAUGUGGUUUAAUUCGAUGGUACGCGAGGAACCUUACCUGGGUUUGACAUACAUACCGAUUAUUUAGAGAUAAGUAAGCGUAGCAAUACGGGUAUGAACAGGUGCUGCAUGGCUGUCGUCAGCUCGUGCCGUGAGGUGUUGGGUUAAGUCCCGCAACGAGCGCAACCCCUACUGCCAGUUACUAACAGGUGAAGCUGAGGACUCUGGCGGAACUGCCGGCGACAAGCCGGAGGAAGGCGGGGAUGACGUCAAGUCAUCAUGGCCCUUAUGUCCAGGGCUACACACGUGCUACAAUGGUCGGUACAGAGUGAAGCGAGGCAGUGAUGCGGAGCAAAACGCAGAAAACCGAUCGUAGUCCGGAUUGGAGUCUGAAACCCGACUCCAUGAAGUUGGAAUCGCUAGUAAUCGCACAUCAGCACGGUGCGGUGAAUA